AGGACCAGACUGCAGAUAAAUUUGUCUGACUACACUGGUCUGAUUGGAAAAGGAACUGAAAUCUGGAUGGAGUCUUAAGCUCCUGUGUUCUUUCCACCAAAACCUACUAAUGGCAGGACCUUGGAGAAGAAGCAUGACUUUGACAAUAUGAGAGGAAUCUGAAGCAGCUUUCCAUUCCAACUUAAAUAAUGAUAUAAAUAAACGGAGGAAUAUUCAGAGCUGAUGGCCAGACCCUGGCAAUACACCACAAAUGAUGAAACUAACAAAGUUAAUCAAUCAGGAACUUGAAGUACUACUACUUAACAGAGAGUUCACACUUACUUAGUCAUUAACACUUAGUCAUAAAAGACCACCAGCACUGCACCCCCCAGGCAGCAAAUCCAGAGACUUUGAUUGGUUCCCGAGAUAUGAUAGACCAGCCCACUGUGAAAGGAAGGAGAAACCACAGAGACAGGAAGUGAAUUGGAGAAAACUGCUUAUAAAAGCCAACCAAGUGCAUUCUAAUUCACUCAACUGCCUUGGAGGACUUCUGCUGCCUUGGUAGCUCUUGCAGAGGGAAGUCUUCUGUGUUGUCUCUGUGUUGGAGGCUCUUCUGCAUUGGAGGGAUUCUUCUGCCUUGGACUUCUGCAUUGGAAAUUGCUUUUGAGCUGUUAAGACUCUUGCUGAAGAGACUACAGUGACUUUUGCUUUGGAGAUCAGAAGAAUUAGAUCCUGUUGGAGAUUAGAACAUAAAAAUCCACUGUAAAACUGAAGGUUCAAGAUGAUUUCAACACAAUGUUAUUCUGGCAACAAGGAUGAAAUUGUAUUAAAUUUGAAUUGCCAUAGACACUGUAAAUCCUCCUGGAAAUCCCUACCUAUCCAGACAUAGGCAAAGGAAAAGAUCGAAUCUAAUCCAAGAAACACAGAGAUGCAGAACUUUGAAGGACAAACUAUAUAAUGCAAUAAAAUUCAAUUCAUUAAACAUUUGUUUGGUAUCUACUAUGUGCCAGGACUGUGCUGUGUAUCUAGGUCUAAAAUUUUGUCUUGAAUGUAAUAGACAGUUACUAAAUGCUUCUUCAUUGAGUGACUGAUUUUGUAUUGAUGUUUUUGCCAGUGCCUUCAAAUAAAUGAUGGGGAUUUUUAAAAAGCUAAUUUUUA
Molecule: long non-coding RNA, 1137 nt
Filed under: Monodelphis domestica (gray short-tailed opossum)
Lineage: Eukaryota; Metazoa; Chordata; Mammalia; Didelphimorphia; Didelphidae
Description: lncRNA (ENSMODG00000035565.2)
Source: RNAcentral